UAUUUACACAUGUUAUAUUUUGUAUUGUAUUUUGUUUAGCCCCCGUAUGAAAAUGUGAUGCAAGGGAUUUUACCAUCGACAGCCAUCAACAUCAUCAAGCCCUGCACAACUAACGUGCUGUUUCCUAUUUAACAACAGCAGAUAAUAAGUAAUGCUCAACUGGGACCACAGGGUGGGGUGAUUUAUUUGGAUAAAACACAACGCAAGCUGCUGUGGUGUGGGCCUAUGGGUGUCUGUCUAUCAACUUCCAGCAACACCUGAUAUGCAAGACAAGCUUCUAAAAAUCACAUCAGGUGGUACGACAGACAUAUAUUUAUGUUAACGUUGUGCCACUUGAUUAUGUUAUUUUUUAUUGAUUAGUCUCAAUUAUAACCCAUAUGUUGCCUUCUUUUUUAGCACUAUUAAAGAUCUAUUCCAUUGGAAUUCCUAAAAUCACUGUGAGUGUAUCCAUUGUUUUCAGUGCCAUGAUGUCCUUGAGGAGCAGAUUCAAUUGCAUGAGCAACACGGC
Molecule: long non-coding RNA, 508 nt
Organism: Oncorhynchus tshawytscha (Chinook salmon)
Lineage: Eukaryota; Metazoa; Chordata; Actinopteri; Salmoniformes; Salmonidae
Source: Ensembl